Molecule: ribosomal RNA, 183 nt
Filed under: uncultured freshwater bacterium
Lineage: Bacteria
Description: partial 16S ribosomal RNA
Rfam family: Bacterial small subunit ribosomal RNA
Source: RNAcentral
CCGGAACAGUGGGGAUAUUGGACAUGGGCGAAGCCUGAUCCAGCCAUGCCGCGUGUGUGAAGAAGGUCUUCGGAUUGUAAAGCACUUUAAGUUGGGAGGAAGGGCAGUAAGUUAAUACCUUGCUGUUUUGACGUUACCAACAGAAUAAGCACCGGCUAACUUCGUGCCAGCAGCCGCGGUAAU